GGCGUACGGGUGAGUAACACGUGGAUUAUCUACCUCUUGGUGGGGAAUAACCCUGGGAAACCGGGGGUAAUACCGCAUGAGCUCGAAAGAGGAAAGUCGAAAGACGCCGAGAGAGGAGUCCGCGGCCGAUUAGCUAGUUGGCGGGGUAACGGCCCACCAAGGCGAAGAUCGGUAGCCGGCCUGAGAGGGCACACGGCCACACUGGCACUGAAACACGGGCCAGACUCCUACGGGAGGCAGCAGUGGGGAAUCUUGCACAAUGGGGGAAACCCUGAUGCAGCGACGCCGCGUGAGCGAUGAAGCCCUUCGGGGUGUAAAGCUCUUUCGACGGGAACGAUAAUGACGGUACCCGGAGAAGAAGCUGCGGCUAACUACGUGCCAGCAGCCGCGGUAAUACGUAGGCAGCGAGCGUUGUUCGGAGUUACUGGGCGUAAAGAGUGUGUAGGCGGUGUCGUAAGUUCGGUGUGAAAUCUCCCGGCUUAACUGGGAGGGUGCGCCGGAAACUGCGAGACUUGAGUACGGGAGAGGGAAGCGGAAUUCCUGGUGUAGCGGUGAAAUGCGUAGAUAUCAGGAGGAACACCUGCGGUGUAGACGGCUUCCUGGACCGACAUUGACGCUGAGGCGCGAAAGCCAGGGGAGCAAACGGGAUUAGAUACCCCGGUAGUCC
RNAcentral lists this ribosomal RNA (667 nucleotides) under uncultured bacterium. Its description in RNAcentral is "bacterial SSU rRNA". It matches the Rfam family "Bacterial small subunit ribosomal RNA", at positions 97 to 796 of the family's 1533-position model. The record is from RNAcentral.